RNAcentral lists this transfer RNA (73 nucleotides) under Canis lupus familiaris (dog). It matches the Rfam family "tRNA". From Rfam's summary of the family: Transfer RNA (tRNA) molecules are approximately 80 nucleotides in length. Their secondary structure includes four short double-helical elements and three loops (D, anti-codon, and T loops). The record is from Rfam by way of RNAcentral. RNAcentral also lists the same sequence under 1 other name. Lineage: Eukaryota; Metazoa; Chordata; Mammalia; Carnivora; Canidae.
GGUAGGAUAGCAAUAUGGGUGAAAGUCUGGCCUCUAAACUCAGUGUGCGUGGGUUCAACCCCCACCUCUACCA